CUAUACNUGCAGUAGAACGCUGAAGAGAGGAGCUUGCUCUUCUUGGAUGAGUUGCGAACGGGUGAGUAACGCGUAGGUAACCUGCCUUGUAGCGGGGGAUAACUAUUGGAAACGAUAGCUAAUACCGCAUAACAAUGGAUGACACAUGUCAUUUAUUUGAAAGGGGCAAUUGCUCCACUACAAGAUGGACCUGCGUUGUAUUAGCUAGUAGGUGAGGUAACGGCUCACCUAGGCGACGAUACAUAGCCGACCUGAGAGGGUGAUCGGCCACACUGGGACUGAGACACGGCCCAGACUCCUACGGGAGGCAGCAGUAGGGAAUCUUCGGCAAUGGGGGCAACCCUGACCGAGCAACGCCGCGUGAGUGAAGAAGGUUUUCGGAUCGUAAAGCUCUGUUGUAAGUCAAGAACGAGUGUGAGAGUGGAAAGUUCACACUGUGACGGUAGCUUACCAGAAAGGGACGGCUAACUACGUGCCAGCAGCCGCGGUAAUACGUAGGUCCCGAGCGUUGUCCGGAUUUAUUGGGCGUAAAGCGAGCGCAGGCGGUUUGAUAAGUCUGAAGUUAAAGGCUGUGGCUCAACCAUAGUUCGCUUUGGAAACUGUCAAACUUGAGUGCAGAAGGGGAGAGUGGAAUUCCAUGUGUAGCGGUGAAAUGCGUAGAUAUAUGGAGGAACACCGGUGGCGAAAGCGGCUCUCUGGUCUGUAACUGACGCUGAGGCUCGAAAGCGUGGGGAGCGAACAGGAUUAGAUACCCUGGUAGUCCACGCCGUAAACGAUGAGUGCUAGGUGUUGGAUCCUUUCCGGGAUUCAGUGCCGCAGCUAACGCAUUAAGCACUCCGCCUGGGGAGUACGACCGCAAGGUUGAAACUCAAAGGAAUUGACGGGGGCCCGCACAAGCGGUGGAGCAUGUGGUUUAAUUCGAAGCAACGCGAAGAACCUUACCAGGUCUUGACAUCCCGAUGCUAUUUCUAGAGAUAGAAAGUUACUUCNGGUACAUCGGUGACAGNNGGNGCAUGNNNUCGUCAGCUCGUGUCGUGAGAUGNUGGGUUAAGUCCNGCAACGAGCGCNACCCCUNUUGNNANUNGCCAUCNUUCAGUUGG
RNAcentral lists this ribosomal RNA (1100 nucleotides) under Streptococcus salivarius. RNAcentral describes it as "bacterial SSU rRNA". It matches the Rfam family "Bacterial small subunit ribosomal RNA", at positions 49 to 1134 of the family's 1533-position model. Lineage: Bacteria; Bacillati; Bacillota; Bacilli; Lactobacillales; Streptococcaceae. The record is from RNAcentral.